UACGUAGGGUGCAAGCGUUGUCCGGAAUUAUUGGGCGUAAAGAGCUCGUAGGCGGUUUGUCGCGUCGGGAGUGAAAUCCACUGGCUUAACUGGUGGCUUGCUUUCGAUACGGGCAGACUGGAGGUAUGCAGGGGAGAACGGAAUUCCUGGUGUAGCGGUGAAAUGCGCAGAUAUCAGGAGGAACACCGGUGGCGAAGGCGGUUCUCUGGGCAAUAACUGACGCUGAGGAGCGAAAGCGUGGGGAGCGAACAGG
RNAcentral lists this ribosomal RNA (253 nucleotides) under uncultured bacterium. RNAcentral's name for it is "partial 16S ribosomal RNA". It matches the Rfam family "Bacterial small subunit ribosomal RNA", at positions 524 to 776 of the family's 1533-position model. The record is from RNAcentral.